Molecule: ribosomal RNA, 433 nt
Filed under: uncultured bacterium
Lineage: Bacteria
Description: partial 16S ribosomal RNA
Rfam family: Bacterial small subunit ribosomal RNA
Source: RNAcentral
AGCGAACGCUGGCGGCAGGCCUAACACAUGCGAGUCGAACGGAUCCUUCGGGAUUAGUGGCGGACGGGUGAGUAACACGUGGGAACGUGCCCUUUGGUUCGGAACAACUCAGGGAAACUUGAGCUAAUACCGGAUGUGCCCUUCGGGGGAAAGAUUUAUCGCCAUUGGAGCGGCCCGCGUCUGAUUAGCUAGUUGGUGAGGUAACGGCCCACCAAGGCGACGAUCAGUAGCUGGUCUGAGAGGAUGAUCAGCCACACUGGGACUGAGACACGGCCCAGACUCCUACGGGAGGCAGCAGUGGGGAAUCUUGCGCAAUGGGCGAAAGCCUGACGCAGCCAUGCCGCGUGAAUGAUGAGGGUCUUAGGAUUGUAAAAUUCUUUCAGCGGGGACGAUAAUGACGGUACCCGCAGAAGAAGCUCCGGCUAACUUCGUG